UCCCUAAUGGUCCAGUGGUUAAGACUCUAUGCUCCCAGUGCAGGGGCCUGGGUUCAAUCCCUGGUAGGGGAA
Molecule: transfer RNA, 72 nt
Filed under: Ovis aries (sheep)
Lineage: Eukaryota; Metazoa; Chordata; Mammalia; Artiodactyla; Bovidae
Rfam family: tRNA
About the family: Transfer RNA (tRNA) molecules are approximately 80 nucleotides in length.
Source: Rfam by way of RNAcentral